Molecule: ribosomal RNA, 424 nt
Filed under: uncultured bacterium
Lineage: Bacteria
Description: partial 16S ribosomal RNA
Rfam family: Bacterial small subunit ribosomal RNA
Source: RNAcentral
AAUUUUGGACAAUGGGGGCAACCCUGAUCUAGCCAUCCCGCGUGUGCGAUGAAGGCCUUCGGGUUGUAAAGCACUUUUCGCAGGGAAGAAAAGGCUCUGGUUAAUACCUGGAGCUGUUGACGGUACCUGCCGAAUAAGCACCGGCUAACUACGUUCCAGCAGCCGCGGUAAUACGUAGGGUGCAAGCGAUAAUCGGAAUUACUGGGCGUAAAGCGUGCGCAGGGUGUUCGGCAAGAAGGAUGUGAAAUCCCAGGGCUUAACCUUGGAACUGCAUUCUUAACUGCCGGGCUAGAGUAUGUCAGAGGGGGGUAGAAUUCCGCGUGUAGCAGUGAAAUGCGUAGAGAUGCGGAGGAAUACCGAUGGCGAAGGCAGCCCCCUGGGAUAAUACUGACGCUCAUGCACGAAAGCGUGGGGAGCAAACAGG